CGAUUUUCGUCGACGCAAGCAGUUUGACAGUUCUCUUCAGUUGGACUCGUUUGAACUUGAUUGCUGUUGAGCUUCGCAAGGAUUUUGGCCGGUUGAUAGGUUUCCUGAUUUCGGUCAUCGUGGUGGUGGAGGCGAAGGAGGAUGGGAAAUAGAGAUAACCCGGCGGCCAUGCCGGAAGACGGGAUAGGAAGGAACCGGUCUGCGGUCGAGGAAGCGGAUGUUUUAUUUUCCACGGGAGGUUGCGGUGCAUUCCCAAAGGAGAAAAAGGAUUAAAUACCAAGUUCCGGCCAAGGGAACAUAAAGAAGGAAACGGAACUUCCAAAUCCUAGGGAGUUGUUCACUGUUCUGGAUGAAUGAAAAGGCGGAGGAGGACGGAAUAAUACACUCCUGGCGGCGUUUCUGAUUCGCCAGAAGUUGUUAUCAAUGACAUUCGAAAAUAUUCCAAUCUGAUCCUGCCGAAAGUCUUGCAAAGUGCGUAAACCAACGUUAUCCGUUACUUCAGUGGCCAUCAGUCCAUCGGACAUAAAACAGUGGGGCAGCACCAGGACAGUUUCCAAGUCCAACUUUGAUCAGCAUCUGCGGCAGCAACGAGGAGUAACAGUCCAUCUUGACCAAGAUGCUGGGGCGCCUGCAUCGGAAGAUGACUGACGAAUUCCUGCCGAGAGACGAGGAGAACCAACCGGAAGACGACACCAAGAUGUACGUGAAGAUCCGCGACACAACAAGUAUAAUGAAUUAAUUGAAUUGACUGCGAGGAAAAGUGCAAAUUACAUAAAAAAUAAACUAAAUUAAAAAUAAACAACUAUCUAUUUUUUAACUGCAACAUAACCUAAAAACCUGAA
This is a long non-coding RNA of Culex pipiens pallens (northern house mosquito), 842 nucleotides long. RefSeq lists it as uncharacterized. The record is from RefSeq and is a predicted model, not a curated record. NCBI's taxonomy places the organism in Eukaryota, Metazoa, Arthropoda, Insecta, Diptera, Culicidae. The transcript is spliced from 3 exons.